Molecule: ribosomal RNA, 766 nt
Filed under: uncultured bacterium
Lineage: Bacteria
Description: bacterial SSU rRNA
Rfam family: Bacterial small subunit ribosomal RNA
Source: RNAcentral
AAACUUGGGCUAAUACCGCAUGAGCCCUGAGGGGGAAAGCGGGGGAUCUUCGGACCUCGCGCUAAGGGAAGAGCCUACGUCUGAUUAGCUAGUUGGUAGGGUAAAGGCCUACCAAGGCGACGAUCAGUAGCUGGUCUGAGAGGACGACCAGCCACACUGGGACUGAGACACGGCCCAGACUCCUACGGGAGGCAGCAGUGGGGAAUUUUUCGCAAUGGGGGCAACCCUGACGAAGCAAUGCCGCGUGGAUGAAGAAGGCCUUCGGGUUGUAAAGUCCUUUCGUGGGGGACGAAAAGGCGGGUCCUAAUACGAUCUGCUGUUGACGUGAACCCAAGAAGAAGCACCGGCUAACUCCGUGCCAGCAGCCGCGGUAAUACGGGGGGUGCAAGCGUUAAUCGGAAUCACUGGGCGUAAAGGGUGCGUAGGCGGUACGUUAGGUCUGUCGUGAAAUCCCCGGGCUCAACCUGGGAAUGGCGGUAGAAACCGGCGCACUAGAGUAUGGGAGAGGGUGGUGGAAUUCCAGGUGUAGCGGUGAAAUGCGUAGAGAUCUGGAGGAACAUCAGUGGCGAAGGCGGCCACCUGGCCCAAUACUGACGCUGAGGCACGAAAGCGUGGGGAGCAAACAGGAUUAGAUACCCUGGUAGUCCACGCCCUAAACGAUGAAUACUAGAUGUUUGGUACCUAGCGUACUGAGUGUCGUAGCUAACGCGAUAAGUAUUCCGCCUGGGAAGUACGGCCGCAGGUUAAAACUCAAAGGAAUUGACGG